CCCCUCUCAGGGUCUCACCUGGAGAGUUUCCAGUACUCUACCAGUCAUGAUUACAGAAGGGAGAGUCAAGCAGAAGCCUAUCCAUUCCAUUCCUUGCUUGGGCAGUGGCUAGUGAGUGGAAGGCAAUCUGCUACAAGU
Molecule: small nucleolar RNA, 138 nt
Filed under: Ornithorhynchus anatinus (platypus)
Lineage: Eukaryota; Metazoa; Chordata; Mammalia; Monotremata; Ornithorhynchidae
Source: RNAcentral